CAGCCACCUGAUUCUUGCAGACAUGGAGGACUUGCGCAGGCUCGGGCCUCACUUUCUCCACUGUGGCCUCAAAAGCUCCUUGCUUGUCCGAAAGGCCAGUAGCUGCAGCCUUGAUGGGAGGUGUGGCACCCUAUGAGAAAUCCAAGAUAAUCCAGCAGUGAAAAACUAGGAGUCCAAAAUAUUCAGAUUCGGGCUUGUAAAGACCUGUAAACUUAUAGCAUUUCCCCUAGUUAAAAAGAAAAACAAAAAAAUAAGGGCAGAAGAAGUAAAAACAAAAAGAAACGAAGAAGGCACCUUCACAGGCAUAGCAACAAUCAUGUGACCUGGCGCCCCAGGUUUCCAAGCAGCCAAUCUCCACGAACACAGGCGCAGAGUUCCUGGGCAGGGAGGACACAAACAGGCUGGCGGUUCAUUAAACGGUGGGUCCCAGGAGACAGGGGAUCUUCUGGACCCAAGGAUCAAACCCGCAUCUCUUUCGUCUCCAGAAUUGGCAGGCGGGUUCAUUAUCACCUGAGAGGCCCCGGAGUGAAGGACCUGCCGUUCUCCGAGGUUCAGACUCAGGACCUUCAGGUUAUUUUGGAUUUUCACUUGAGUUUUCCUCAGUGCUGUCUGACUGCAAAAGUAAUUCAAAUAUGGAAAGAUAAAGCCACCAGGAGUGCCAGCCAAACAGCAAACUCUCAAAACUCCAGAGAAAGUACUCAGAAGUCAGGAUAUGACAAAGAGCUUCAUCUUCUCCCUUCUGCCAACAAGUGUGUCUGAAUUACAUUUAUCCCACUCCAGCCUGAAAUCUUCUCAUUGACCUUUUAGAGAUUACUCUUCUAACAAACUUGAACGAGAAAAUCAUUUUCCUUACUUCACUCUUCAGAGAGCUCUCUUCUGCCUCUUCCUCGAGUGCUGGCAGGAAGGACACGGAACCCGUUCUGUUCAACUGAAAGGCACAGCACAAAGACCUGCGGCUGGGCUGCUGUUCAACGUCAUCAGGAUCCCGCCAAAGCUUCCUACCAUAUGGGAAUAAAUAAGCAGAUAAAGGUGCUGUGAAGUGUAAUUUGUUAUGGGAAUGAUGAAGAGAUGAUUCCAAGCUUUAUAAGAGACAGAGAAACUCCACCUAUGAGUGAAAGUUCUGAAGUCCAGAGAAAGAAGGUGAUUCGUCCAGAGCUGCAGCCAGUGACAGAGCACAGACCUGGACUUCUGACACCCAGCCCCCAUGACUCCAGUGCUACUGCACACGUUCUGACACCAUACCCCUAUUCUGUCUGAAGUGAAACUUCUUGCCAUUGCUUUGGGAAAUGAUAACUUAAUUCAGUCUGAGUUGGCUGUGGUGUGUGUCCCUUUUCAAUAAGCACUAAACUUCAGAGGUACAGUGCCUCCCAACAGACAUAACACUACAGCCGUUAGAACAGCACUUAGAGAAACAGACCAGUCUCCAGAGCCACUGGCAUUACGGAGGCAGAGAAGGGCACAAAGCUGCCAUUCUCAAAGCGGCAUUUGCAAACCCCAGGAGGUCUGCACUCUAUGAGGUCAAGAUCAUUUUCAUAAUAAUACCAAAAUGUUACUGGCCUUUCUCACUGUGUUGACAGUACAUCACAUUCACUGUGUGAUGUAGUAAAAGCUGCUGCUGCUGCUGCUAGGUUGCUUCAGUCGUGUCCGACUCUGUGCGACCCCAGAGACGGCAAUGCUGGGUAAGACUACUGACGUCUGGUAGGAACCAAGGCAGAAACAUCAACUGUAUUAGCAUUACUAGAUGCUUCAUAUCUAGUAAUUUAGCAUCAUACUAAAUUUAGUAAUUUAGUAUCAUGAAUUUAACUGUACAAAAAGCCAACUUCAGUUAAGAAUAUCCUUGAUAAAGAAUAUGUAUUUUUAAUACUCUGUUUGACAAAGUGGGAAGCCUGCAUAAAGCACUUCUGUUGUACACCAAAGUUUAAUGGUUGAGGAAAAGCACUCCUGUGAUGAAGUUUCAAACUGACCUAUCCAUUUUUUUUUUCAUUGAAUACUAUUUUUAUUUGAAAAAAAGACAGUUGUUAAACUAUACAUACAUAUGUAUAUAAUACACAUAAAGAUUUUUCUGAAGAG
Budorcas taxicolor (takin) is the source of this 2070-nucleotide long non-coding RNA. RefSeq lists it as uncharacterized. The transcript is spliced from 7 exons. NCBI's taxonomy places the organism in Eukaryota, Metazoa, Chordata, Mammalia, Artiodactyla, Bovidae. The record is from RefSeq and is a predicted model, not a curated record.